GGUUCUCCGUCACGGCGUAUUUUCAGAAAAGUCCAUUACGUUUUGAAGAAUCAACCCGCAGUCCUUUUUUAACAGGCUAACUGAGAUAACGUUUCAUUUUUGCAAAAACGUCCAUGUAGUUUAGUAUAUUCAACCCGCAGUCCUCUAAACAAACACAUCACGGCAGAUCCUCGUCCUCAUCAUUUCAAAAAAAGAUCCUCUUCCUCUUCCCCACGCACGAGCGGGCGCACCGCCGCCGCCGCCGCCUUCCUCGCGGAGUCUGCGGCCGAAGGAUCGGUUGGGGCGCACCGGGUCUAGGACGGCCUUCUGUGGGGCGCAGUGCGAGCUCUCGGCUCGGGGCAGGAGGCGGCUCGAUGAAGGGGACGUGGGGCGCAUCGCUCCUCUCCUGGUGUGACGCACGAGGGAAGGAGGAGGGGAUCGACCCAAGACGGGAGCUGAGGCCGGCGGCGCCCUUCACACAAGCCUCAUCGGCGGUGCCCUCUACACAAGCGUCACCGGCGGUGCGGCGGGAGAGCUCCUACCCGUCCAUAGGUGCGGGGAUGCAGAUCCGCGUCGCCAGCCUGUAUUAGGCCGAGGUUGACGCGCCGGCGCAGGGGUCACCGUCCAUCUUCGUCAGGACUCCAGAGUACUCCAGCAACAGCCACUGGACGACAGGAAGUCCGUGUGCUCGAUUUGAGUGUGACAGGUACGUCGUUGUGUGCUUCUCAGUACAGUAGAUUUACCACGCGGGGUGGUGACUGGGAGGCUGGGACAUGCUGGCACGGUCAAACAGCCGGUUGACUGCGAUCAGGGUGCUAGAGGCUCUUGGGGUCGCAGCCCGCUCGCCUGCUGGACGUAUAAUGUUGAUUAUUUAGAGACCUCAUCUUCAUGAGACUAGCAAGGGAUGGACAUUCUGAAGAAGAAGAGAUGAGGUGAGUUUCUGAAGUUCACCGUCCAAUCCAAGUAUUAAAGGUGAACAUUACUAUUCAAAGGGACAUAAUUAACCUGUUAAAUUAUUUUUAGAGCAAGAAACCAGUUAUUAUCUAACCGAAUAACUAUAAACUAGCUACUUUUUUCUAAAAUGAGGUGUCGUCUUUAAAUAGAGGAGAUGGACUGGAGAGGGGGCUUGAGAAAUGCUUAUUAGGCUAGAGGCGUAUGAUUUUUUUCUCCCGUUGCAACGCACGGGCAUGUUUGCUAUAAUAAUAAAGCAUCCAGUGGAGGGGCUUAGAAAAAUAGAAACGGUUCUAUUUGAUAUACAAUGUAAUUCAGAAAUUAAUGGCUGGAGGAUCCUAAACUAACAUAUGGCAUUUUGUUUCAAUUUCUCUUUACAUGAUUGUGUUACUUAUGCACAAUCACCAUACUUGGCAUAGGUGCUGAAAUAUGGGAUGGGCUUUAGGCCCAUCUAGAAAUUUCUGAAAAUCUCUAAGGGCCCAUGUGGGUUGUAUGACACUACGUGUAGUGGGAAGUUUAGUCCCAUCCCGGAUGUGGAAGAAGAGAUGAGGCCCUCGCGCACUCCUCCUCCUCCGCCCGCCGCGCCGCGGGUUGCGGGAUUAAGCCGAGCCGAGCUCACACCUACGCGCUUAUUUUUGCCAGUCGCUAACGAAGAGUUUCUGACAGCUGAGCCACGAUCUGAGACGUCGGAUCGUGGGCUGUCACGGACUCGGACGUGGGUCGAGCCCACGUCUCUCCACGCGGCUGCGCCUAUAUAAGCGUACGGUGUCUCUGAACCCUAGCCGCCUCGAUCAGAUCGCAUCGCAUUUGCUCCACGCGCACGCCCACUGUCGUUCCGUUGCUGCUGCUGCCGCCGGUGACUCCAUCCCGUCCGCCGCGUACACGGUCGACGGGAGAGCAGGUCUCCGAAACCCCGUCUCUCCGGUUCCUAUACGGGAAAGAGGCGAAUAGGUUUUUGGGAAGCGACUACGCGACUGCUCGCCGUUCAUCUACUUCCUCUACGUCCGCGUCGUCCUCGUCAUCACCAUGUCCACUGACGCCGAACGUGCCGCCGCCGAGAAAGCUGAAGCCAACAAGAAGGCCGCCGAGGACGCUGCUGCCGCCACCACCGCCGCGGCGUCUGCAUGGCCCACUGGAGGGUAUAACGCGUUUAUCCCGCUCCUGUAUAUUUUCGUAUUAGCAGUACUAGCAGUAUGUGUAGAUUUGUCUACUGUUUGCUUAGUACGUGCAUGUUUAGAUCAGAGUCAGUACGUCAUCAAUUCAGUCAAUGCCAUGCUAGUGAUUUAUCUAUGGAUUAAAUUAGUCGAAAAAUUGCCUAUUUACUCAGCAAUCCAAAAACCUAUCAUGUGUAGGAAUUUUUCA
Molecule: long non-coding RNA, 2292 nt
Organism: Aegilops tauschii subsp. strangulata
Lineage: Eukaryota; Viridiplantae; Streptophyta; Magnoliopsida; Poales; Poaceae
Source: RefSeq, a predicted model, not a curated record